Long non-coding RNA from Alligator mississippiensis (American alligator), 5704 nucleotides. RefSeq lists it as uncharacterized. NCBI's taxonomy places the organism in Eukaryota, Metazoa, Chordata, Crocodylia, Alligatoridae. The record is from RefSeq and is a predicted model, not a curated record. The transcript is spliced from 3 exons.
GGCUGGGGCCAGAGGUAGUUUCCUGCCAGCAGCCCAAGAGGAAAGAGCUCUGUCUUGGAAGAGAGGGGAGGCCUGACUGCAGGAGGAGCAUUUGGCACUGCUGAGGGAUGGAGUAAUCCCCGGGCUGGGAGACAUUCAUACAGCUCUUCAUAAAGAGAAGAACACGGAUAUGUACAGAAAACCAACUUGGAAUGAGUGCUCAGUGCAGUCCUGUGGCAAGGAGGACUAACAUGAUCCUAGGAUGCACAAAACAUGAAAAUAUCAAGUAAAAGACAUUUGGCACUCUGCAGAUGAAUGGACAGUUAACUGGAAUUAAUGACCCAUAUGGCACAGUCUCAGCUGUCAAGGCCUACCAGUUAGUCAUUAAUCCACCAGAAAUGCCCUACAUGUCAACAAUCACUAUUGCCUAAGGAGAAGCAGCUGGAAGUAAGCUCAAAGACUGUUCAAAUUGAACAAAACUCUUCUGAACUGUAAUUAUCAGGAUGUGAGUCCCAACUCUAGAAGGGUCCCUCCUGGUCAGUUUUUGUAAGCACUUGUGUGGGGCAGCAUGGGGGAAGCUUGCCCCGGCAAUGCUCCUACUGAAUGUGAUGUGAGGAUAAGCAGACAGUUCUGUGGCUCUCAGCCAAAUGACUUUCACCAGCACUAAAUUAGUCUGGAACAAACAUUUUCAAAGUGAACCUUUUAUAGCCCUAUGUCAUUUGGAUUCCCUUCCAUUAAAGGCUCACUUGCUCGCUCUCUCUUUCCUAUUCCAUCUUUUCCUGCUGUCCUUAUUUCCAUUCCUUUUCCAUGUUUUUUCCCCCCUCUGUUCCUGUACUGCCUUUCUCUCUCCCUGAUGCAUCUUGCUUGAUCUCUCCCAUUACUGCUAUAAACAACCUGGGGCUUUGGGUGGGUGCAGCUCAGAGGAUCACCCUGGCUAGGAGAUCACUCCAAGGGCAUCCCUAAAAUUGGAGCUAAUUGAAAGGAAAAGUACAAGGCCUGUCACCGAUGCACAAAUCAAUCUCAGCUUGAAAUAGCAAACUAGGACAAGCAAGCUAGGGAAGCGGCUUAGGAAACUGCAAUUCUUUCCUUACUGAAUAAAAAAGGAAAAAAAUUAAAACCAAAACCAGAUUUCUCUUUAAUCCAUUAAAACUUCUUUUGGGGAAAAAUAAUGGAGUGAAUAAGACUACAAUACAGAUUUUAUUUCGAUAGCGCUUUUCCCACUGAAGUGCCAAGGCAUUUCCCAGCACAAACAAAUGUAUAAUAAAACUGGCUAAAAAUAAUGUGAAGGUUGUUAUUUUUAAAAAAAAUGUAAAAUGUUACCCUGAUUUGAUAUACAGCCCAUACCAAAGAAAACAGGAGGGAAUGUGGUUCAUUGCUAAAUCCAAAGGGAAAGGCAAGCUGAAAAGCAACAGCCUUCAAGUCUGUCAGUGCCACAGCACCAGUGAGAGGCAGAACUUCCACUACUUCUGGUACACCCACAUUCAUGUUGGUGUCAUAGAUAGAAAGGGAAGAGGGGCUUGACCUGGUGUCCAUUAAUGUCAAGGGAAAGGUGCAUUGAAAGAGGCUCUUGUUAAGAAUUCCCUGGGCUAGUAAUUUUCCUUACAGGUGGGAGUUUUCAGUGAAUUCAUUAAAGACCAGCUUUUGGUUGCUCCCUCAGUGGGCUUGUGCAUCUGCAUGGUGAAAUGAGUAAAUACAACCUCUUGGGGAGGUGAUAGACAACCCCAGCACUUGUGCUCCUUACAGGCAAGAUGAGGGAGGUUUCACCAUGCAGCCAACAGUGGUGGACAAUGGGCAUGCCACAGAGGUACUGAUUAAUGACCAGAAUGAUGCUAGAGGGCAUGGAGGAGGUGACAUAUUCUGGAUGAGAUAAAGCCCUGAAGCCUGGGGAGUUUAUGAUCGCUAAGGAUUCCAGAGCUGUUUCUGUACUUCCUGAUAUUCUGUCUUCUGGCUGGCUGGAUUGGGAGACCUCUCUCACCUUGCACUAGAGUACAAUCAUCCAGACUUGACUAUACUAAUCAUGGUCUUUAAAGGGACCAUGGUUUCUUAUCCCAUGACCUGGGUGAGCCGUUAACUCUUGUUAACUUCCUUAUUUUCAUCUCAAUUGAUCUAUUCAACCCACUCAUAAUUCAUUUAGAAGGGUCCCUUCUCCUUAUUUUUUUUCCUUUCUACAUAAAAGGUUUUCUGUCUACCAGUCCUUUCACAGUAUCUGAAGGAGUAGCUUGUUGCCUAUGAAAGCUUCAUGCAUCUCUGAAACAGUUCCUCUCAAAAGGUACAGACACCCUACUUCACCCAGUGUUAAAGUUGGAGUGGUUUUGCUACAUUUGUAUUAAUCUCAGUUUGUCAACAGGUAACAAUCAGAACACAGUAGUUACUGCCCUUCUGAAAUGUUCCCUUUUUGAAAGAGCUCCAAAUAUUAAUGUGCCCAUACCAUAGGGUAAUACCUUGCCCUAGUUUUUGCCUCCUUGCUGGAGAGGCUAAUCUUUGAUUUCCUGCAUAUAGACAGUGGUGUCAUUGCUAGUGGAGAAUUGCUGUCAUGUUCUGCCCCAGACAUGAUUGCAUUUCAUGAGUGAACACAUUCACCCUUUAUUAUAUGUAUGGACUAUAAUGUACUUUGGGAUCCUUUAAAAUGAAAGAUGCUGUAGAAACAUAAAGCUAUUAGUUUUAUUAUACUGCUAAUGAGAGUUUCUACAUGGAAGUCAGGACAGCUUUUUUCCAGUCUCCUCUGUCACUUUUUUUUGUGUGUGUGGUUAUUUUUAGUCAUGUGCUUACAUAUACACUGUGAGUAUGUGUGUUGGUGUGUAAUAAUGGUCAAUCUAGUUCUUUGCUGAAAUACCACAGACUUGAUCUUUUAGGCUAGGGACAGAUAAUACACACAAACCGGUUUAAGUGAUCAUAAACUAGUUUAAACCUGUAACAGAAUAGAUGUUCAGUGCACAUAAACUAGUUUGAAAAUGGCUGACAGCGGUUUGAAAUAAACCUGGUUGAAUGUAGUAUCAGACUUAACUGAUUUGGCUCAAACUGGUUUAUGCAAUGUAUGUCCCAGACCCCUUGCUGAUUUAAGCUAAACCAGACACCCCCAGCAUGUUCUGUGGGCUGGGCAGGGCACUCUGCUCCACAGAAGAGUUGGCCCCUCCCUUCUGCUCCCUGGCUGGAGCUCCAGCAGACACAGCAGGGUCUGCCUGGCUUCCCCCUACCCUUGCUGCUCAAACAGAACUCGCCCCCUUCCUCCCUCCCAUCUUCCACAGCAUGGAGCCCAGCCCCAUGGAGCCUAGGCAUGUGGUUUGCUAGCUAACCGAGAGGGGUGUGUGUGUGUGUGUGUGUGUGUGUGUGUGUGUGUGUGUGUGUGUGUGUGUGUGUGUGUGUGUGUGUGUGUGUGUGUGUCCAGUUUCACUGGGACAGGCAGACAGAACAUCGACCACUUAGGGCUUUUUGGAGCUAAUCAACAGGUCAGCUGGUAAGCUGUUUAAGAAGAGUUUGAACUAGUGGAGAGAGGCUAUUGUUUUGCUGAUGGGGUGAUUAAACACUUAUCAACUCCCUGCUGGCUUGCUUGCCUGUCAGUUUGCUGAAGACAGUAUAAGGAAGCAGGAGGGGGAGAUUGAAAAGCUCCGUAUCAUCAACAGAUGCAUGCACUGCACACACCCACCUUGCAUCAGAGUGCUAGCAGGGGGCUGGAUGUGGCAACACUCCCACCCUUUGAGCAGCCAGCAGGGAAAAGCCUGGGAUGGUGCAGGCAGACCUGCCUAAUCAGAACGUCCUGCCAGGGCCUAGCCACAUCCCCUCGGCUCAGUACUAUAAAAGGGAAAGGAGGGCAGCUCUAAGUGCCCCGGCUUCUAGCCUGAGCCACUGCCGGCAUGUGCUGGCAUUCCCUCAAUCCAGAGACAAUGUCUGUCCAGUUACAAACCAGUUAAGCCUAGCCAGGUUAGACUAACCUGCAAAGAUUGAAUCCAUUCAGGCUCAGGCUUUUUGAAUGUCUGUCCCUAGCCUUCCAGUUGUAUGUCUAAAACAAUUAAUAUUUUUCUGAACUUCUAUGGGGUAUUUUAUUCUCAGACUCCACUGGCAUUUAUACCAAUAUCAGACCUUCUAAAAAUACUGUUAUAUGUUUGUUUUAGAGAUGACAUAUGUUUUAAAAUGAAAUAAAUGAAAGUGAAACCCCAGCACUUCUAUCCCUAAUAAAGAUGGACCUCCACAGACUGCUGUGGACUGGCAAUCAUAGUUUUGCUGGGCUUUGUGGGAUCCUCUGAAUCUUGCUGUCCAGAAGAUGGAGACAUCAAUAUUACUCUGUACUUCUGAAACUCAAGAUUUUUUACUGAUGUUAUCAAAUGACAUCCCUAUGGUAUAGAACUAGUUUUUUAAAACUAAGUUCACAGAGGAAAAAAAAAAUAACAUGAAGUGAAGCAAAGAACCUAAUUUUGGACACCUCAGUUUGAGUGCUCAGACAUAUGCAUACAUGGCUAGAUUCUCCAAACCAGGGCAGAUUUUCAAGCACUCGGGACUUCCAAUCCAGGUCAGGGUGAAAAGACCUCAGCUCCCAUUUAAUCAUCAGAACAAGAGCUAGAAAUCCCAAAAGGUUCACACUCACUAGGUUCCAAUGUGACACUUAUGCAAGAAAUGGACAGCACAAAACUUGAGUUUAACAGGCCCAGUUUAUGUCAGAAUCUCUUCCUAAGAGCUUGAAUUGCAGAGAUGCUGAGCCCUAUGCUACCACCUGAAGUGAAUUGGUGCUCAUCCCAUCUGAAAAUCACCCUCACCCUCUCCCAUGGAGAGAAGAGAUAGGUCUUGGUCCAUAAUUCUCCUAUCUUAACUCCUGAACAACAAGGCCUCCUGGAGAGGAUGAGGGAAAAGCAGCUUUCAGGGCUGGGAAGAUACAGAAGUAGGAAAGAACAGCACCAGCAGUAGUAAUGGCUCCUACUGAUCGUGGUGUGAACAGCACAGUCUAUAUAACCAGGGAAGGAGAUCAGCAAAUUGAUCUAUCUAAAGUCACCAAUCCCAUUACCAUAGUGUUUAACUGGGAUGGCCAGUUUGCAAAAGGAUUCCCAUUGCUGCUGGAGAGCAUGUGCCUACCACAGACAAACAGCCUGUCAGUGCAACUCAGCACCUCACUCAGAGGGAGCCCAAGCCAUUGCAGAUGCAGGGCAGGCACAGGUUCCUUCCAGCUCAUGAUUUAUGUAGGGACUCCAUCCUACUCUCAAAAAUUGUAAUGGGAGCAGGGCUGGCAGUUGUAUACUGUAUUUUCUAACAACCAACUCACACUUGAAUAAAAAUAUGCACCCUGUUUUUGAAAGGCAAAAUAUUUUUUUGUUGUUUAAAAGAUCUUAUCUUGAGAAUAUUGGUAAGUAGCAGUAAGUGAGUAGCAGCUUCUGCAGCAAAGCCUCUGCUGGGGGAAAGAGAAAAUGUCUACAACCAGCAGCAAGGCAACCUCACCUGCAGUACUGUAGUGUUACUUUUUCUCCCUCCCCUUUUUUCCCUCUUACCUCCCACCAUCCCCAGUAGAGGCAGAAACUACUAUUACUAUAUUUCCUCACUUAUAAUGUGCACCCAAUUACAAGCAGCCAAAUUAUGGAAAAAAGUGUGUAUUGUAUGUGAGAACAUAUGGUGUAUAAACUAUAGGUUCCUCACAGACAUGAAAAAACAAAAACAAAAAAAGGCACUUUACCAGAACAGGCAGCACAUUAUUUGGACCUGGCUCUACAACAUCUCUAUAGAUUGGGCACUUCAGCAGAGCUUU